UACGUAGGGGGCAAGCGUUGUCCGGAUUUAUUGGGCGUAAAGAGCGUGUAGGCGGCCCGACAGGUCCGUUGUGAAAACUCGAGGCUCAACCUCGAGACGCCGAUGGAAACCGUCUGGCUAGAGUCCGGAAGAGGAGAGUGGAAUUCCUGGUGUAGCGGUGAAAUGCGCAGAUAUCAGGAAGAACACCCGUGGCUAAGGCGGCUCUCUAGUACGGUACUGACGCUGAGACGCGAAAGCGUGGGGAGCGAACAGG
Molecule: ribosomal RNA, 253 nt
Filed under: uncultured bacterium
Lineage: Bacteria
Description: partial 16S ribosomal RNA
Rfam family: Bacterial small subunit ribosomal RNA
Source: RNAcentral